Mauremys mutica (yellowpond turtle) is the source of this 349-nucleotide long non-coding RNA. RefSeq lists it as uncharacterized. The record is from RefSeq and is a predicted model, not a curated record. NCBI's taxonomy places the organism in Eukaryota, Metazoa, Chordata, Testudines, Geoemydidae. The transcript is spliced from 3 exons.
CCUGAUUGUAACAUCUUUGAAUGUCUGUCCUGACCACAGGUUACAUGUGCCUAGAUGCUAAGGAGAAUAAGAACUAUGAAAAAAGGGCAUGCCAAUAUUCAUGGGGUGUAGAAGUACAGGAUUGUCAGGAGAAGCACCCAGGCAGAAAGGGAAGAACAAUAGCCCAGCCUCUCAGCAAACACCCAGGACUCCUGAUCUGAAUGUCACCCAAAUCCUUCUGAGAUGGCUGAACUGGUUUAACCUGUCUCAGAAAGCACAGGAGAACCAAGGACUUAGGCUGGAUUGAGAGUAGCAGCAAGCACAGGUGCUGCUGGAGGACCAUCUGCAGCAAGGAUGAGGAAAGUCAGAG